AUAUGCUUGUCUCAAAGAUUAAGCCAUGCAUGUCUAAGUUUAAGCAAUAAACGGUGAAACUGCGAAUGGCUCAUUAAAUCAGUCAUAGUUUAUUUGAUGGUACCCUACUACAUGGAUACCUGUGGUAAUUCUAGAGCUAAUACAUGCCGAAAAAUCCCGACUUCUGGAAGGGAUGUAUUUAUUAGAUCCAAAACCAAUGGCCUUCGGGUCUCCUUGGUGAAUCAUGAUAACUGCUCGAAUCGCAUGGCCUUGCGCCGGCGAUGCUUCAUUCAAAUAUCUGCCCUAUCAACUUUCGAUGGUAGGAUAGUGGCCUACCAUGGUCGCAACGGGUAACGGGGAAUUAGGGUUCUAUUCCGGAGAGGGAGCCUGAGAAACGGCUACCACAUCCAAGGAAGGCAGCAGGCGCGCAAAUUACCCAAUCCCG
Molecule: ribosomal RNA, 424 nt
Filed under: Crypthecodinium cohnii
Lineage: Eukaryota; Dinophyceae; Gonyaulacales; Crypthecodiniaceae
Description: partial Eukaryotic small subunit ribosomal RNA
Rfam family: Eukaryotic small subunit ribosomal RNA
Source: RNAcentral